RNAcentral lists this ribosomal RNA (539 nucleotides) under uncultured Geobacteraceae bacterium. RNAcentral's name for it is "bacterial SSU rRNA". It matches the Rfam family "Bacterial small subunit ribosomal RNA", at positions 9 to 526 of the family's 1533-position model. The record is from RNAcentral. Lineage: Bacteria; Pseudomonadati; Thermodesulfobacteriota; Desulfuromonadia; Geobacterales; Geobacteraceae.
GAGUUUGAUCCUGGCUCAGAACGAACGCUGGCGGCGUGCUUAACACAUGCAAGUCGAACGUGAUCCGGAGUUUGCUCCGGUGAAAGUGGCGCACGGGUGAGUAACGCGUGGAUAAUCUGCCCUGGUAUCUGGGAUAACAUCUCGAAAGGGGUGCUAAUACCGGAUAAGCCUACGGACUCUUCGGAGUCUGCAGGAAAAGGUGGCCUCUAUUUAUAAGCUWCCGUAUCAGGAUGAGUCCGCGUACCAUUAGCUAGUUGGUGGGGUAAUGGCCCMCCAAGGCUACGAUGGUUAGCUGGUCUGAGAGGAUGAUCAGCCACACUGGAACUGAGACACGGUCCAGACUCCUACGGGAGGCAGCAGUGGGGAAUUUUGCGCAAUGGGGGAAACCCUGACGCAGCAACGCCGCGUGAGUGAUGAAGGCUUUCGGGUCGUAAAGCUCUGUCAGAGGGGAAGAAAUGAGACUGGCUAAUAUCCAGUUUUCUUGACGGUACCCUCAAAGGAAGCACCGGCUAACUCCGUGCCAGCAGCCGCGGUAAUAC